Molecule: long non-coding RNA, 2458 nt
Organism: Canis lupus familiaris (dog)
Lineage: Eukaryota; Metazoa; Chordata; Mammalia; Carnivora; Canidae
Exons: 6
Source: RefSeq, a predicted model, not a curated record
CACGCAGGGAGCCCCAUGUGGGACUCGAUCCCGUGACCCCAGGAUCACCCCCUGGGCCGAAGGCCGCCGCUCAACCACUGAGCCACCCACGUGCCCCUACUUAUUUUCUGACAUUUUAGAAGAAUCUCUGAGGAAAUACUUUCGGUGUAGUGCAUGAAAACUCCUAAGGACGAUCGACCACAACAAAGAAUCAUCUGGCAGAAAAUUCCAUUCAUGUUGAGGUGUGAAAACCUGAGUCAGGCCAGGCAACUCCUUCCUGGAAAACCAUUUGAAAAGUACAGAUACAGUGAAGAAAACACUAGAGCUCAUAGCAAUCACAUUUCUUAUGUAGAAAUAUAUUUUUAUAUAAGGACUGAGAUUUUGAUUUUCAUCCAUAUUCAUGGUGCGUCUGAACAACUUAAACAUCAAGCCAGAACAGGCCGAGAGGCCAGGGAACUGGGCUAUCAUGGCAUCACAGACAUGAGUUGCUAUGAAAAACUGAGCAAAUCAUGGCUUGGUCUCCGCGUUUCCUCCCCCUGUUGGGCUGCCAGUGUCUGAGGAUCCUUGCCACCAGGGAUGAAGAAAUGUUGAAGGCAUGGGAAAUUCAUGCUUAUAGUCAUCCUCCAUCACUGCCCGUGUUGCGUGACCAAAACGAAAUCUGUUCAUCUUUCAGCAGAAAUAUCUGAGUGAUCACUGUUGCAAUGAUUUGAAAGGAGGAGUCGUCUCAACAAAGCAGGCCCUGAAGUACAGAGUGUCUCUCAAUAUGUUAUUUUCACUCAACUGUAUGUGUUUGAUGCCCAGAAGCAGUUAAUUCACUUCAAAGAGCCAGGGAAAAUGCACCAAAAGAUCUUAUCGCCUGAUAUCUUGGACACCUAUGGGACGCUAAGAAAAAAAAACUGAAGAAUAGACUGGAGGAGGAAUGGAUGGGCUGCUUCUGCAAGCAUCCCACUUGCCAUGUGGACUUGACUGGACGUAUUGAUUUCCAAGGGAAGUGCUUGAAUGUGUGAAGAAAGGAUCUUUGUUUCUUGUUCACACUAGGGUGAAGCUAGAAAAUACUUGAACAGGAACCUUGGUAUCACCCAUUUAGGUAUCAGCUGAGGUUAUUCAAGAGGAUCUUGCAUUUGCAUUAAGACAUGCAAUUCCAGAAAAAAAAAUGCAAUCAAAGUCUACUAGUUCCACUAUUUGGACAUAUCGGAAUUUUUGCUUUUCACUGACUGUGUUGUCUGACAAUGAGACCAUGCUUGGAGAGCAGGUGCCACAGCGUGUCACCAUCACCUCAUGGGCAUGAGGGACAAUGGUCACUGAGCAGAGCUUGCCUGUCUUCUCCACAAGAUGGCCCAGGGCACACAUUCAUAUGGACAUAUUAAUUUUAGUACAGCGGGCAUCAGAGAAAAUAUGUUUGUAAUAUUUUAUAAUAAAUAAGAAUUCUGGGGAAUGAAAUUUGAUCUUAGUAGUCCACCAUAGAUAAUAGUGGGAAGGUCACAUCUAAAAAGCUAUAGAUCCCCUUACAUAAAUGAAGGAAUACAUUACUUUGUUUUUUAGAAAUUACUAAUGUUGAAAAGCAUUUAAAAAUAAAACUUAUAAAGAUAAGCCAUCUUUAGUUACCUUUUCAAAAAAUAAUAUAUUUAUAUAUUUUGAGCACUCACUAUGGCCCAGGCACUUCUACUGUCUGGGUAGCUUUUGGGUUCCAUUAUGAAGUCGCUCUGUUUCUAAACUCCCUUCUGCACUUAUUGUUCAAGGAAAGGAAUAACCCUUCUUAGACUGUCUCUCCUUCAAUGUUUUGACAAUGUCAUCAUCUCUUGUUUCCAAAACUCAAGAUGAUAGUUUUAACACUGCAUGUGCAGGAGUUUGACUAUAUACGUCUAUAUUCUAGACUCAAAGGAUAUGUGGAAUAAAUAACCUGCUUUAUUGCCUUAAACCUUUAUUCCUCAUAGACUAAAGAUAAACUGCCAUAAGAGAAACGAAAACAGAAAUAGGAACUAUACAUACCAUUGUGUUUAAAGAAUUUGCAUUCUUGUUAAUUCAUUCAAGUGAAGCACCUACAAUGGGAAACAAAGAAUUAUUCUCAAAGGCUAUUCAAAUGCUUCUACAAGAGACCACAUGGUGCCAUAGGAAAUCAAUGUCUUGCCAUGAAUGGUAAGCUGUUUACCUUUUAUGAACUUUCUGUAAUUCAUUGCACCUUUCUUUUAUCUGUUUCUCAGUUUUGUUUCUCAUAAAAGAAAGGUAUUAUUUCAAAGAGGAAAGGUGAGUUUGAAAACCAAAAUCUUUCAUCUGCUCUUAAGCAGGAGUCUGGGUGUUACAGCGUGAGGGAUGGGGUGCAGGCACUAGGUGUGUAUGUGUUUGAAUAUAUAUUUACCUUUAUAAUCACUGUGAUAGAAUGCAAGUUGAAGGUUUAAAAAAGAUAUUUAAGAAUAAUUCAGAAUUGGGCACCUGGAUGGCUCAGUUGGUUAAGUGUCUGCCUUCAGCUCAGGUUAUGAUG